Molecule: ribosomal RNA, 253 nt
Filed under: uncultured bacterium
Lineage: Bacteria
Description: partial 16S ribosomal RNA
Rfam family: Bacterial small subunit ribosomal RNA
Source: RNAcentral
UACGGGGGGGGCAAGCGUUGUUCGGAAUUACUGGGCGUAAAGGGCUUGUAGGUGGCCAACUAAGUCAGACGUGAAAUCCCUCGGCUUAACCGGGGAACUGCGUCUGAUACUGGAUGGCUGGAGUGUGGGAGAGGGAUGCGGAAUUCCAGGUGUAGCGGUGAAAUGCGUAGAUAUCUGGAGGAACACCGGUGGCGAAGGCGGCAUCCUGGACCGACAUUGACGCUGAGGAGCGAAAGCUAGGUGAGCAAACGGG